AUAAAGUUCCCUUGGGUAAGAAGUACUACUUGUCAUCAAAAUGGAUAAAAUGAGAUGUAUCUAGACGUAUUUUAGUUCUAGAUACGUCCCUUUUUAUUCAUUUUGAUGACAAGUAUUUUCGGACGAAGGGAGCUUAUA
Non-coding RNA from Triticum aestivum (bread wheat), 138 nucleotides. NCBI's taxonomy places the organism in Eukaryota, Viridiplantae, Streptophyta, Magnoliopsida, Poales, Poaceae. The record is from Rfam.